This 536-nucleotide ribosomal RNA is filed under the name uncultured bacterium. RNAcentral describes it as "bacterial LSU rRNA". It matches the Rfam family "Bacterial large subunit ribosomal RNA", at positions 2142 to 2674 of the family's 2925-position model. The record is from RNAcentral.
GAUAGGUGGGAGGCUUUGAAGCCAGGACGCUAGUUCUGGUGGAGCCAACGUUGAAAUACCACCCUGGUGUGUUUGAGGUUCUAACCUUGGCCCGUUAUCCGGGGUUGGGGACAGUGUAUGGUGGGCAGUUUGACUGGGGCGGUCUCCUCCCAAAGUGUAACGGAGGAGUUCGAAGGUACGCUAGAUACGGUCGGAAAUCGUGUUGAUAGUGCAUUGGCAUAAGCGUGCUUGACUGCGAGACUGACAAGUCGAGCAGGUACGAAAGUAGGACAAAGUGAUCCGGUGGUUCUGUAUGGAAGGGCCAUCGCUCAACGGAUAAAAGGUACUCUGGGGAUAACAGGCUGAUACCGCCCAAGAGUUCAUAUCGACGGCGGUGUUUGGCACCUCGAUGUCGGCUCAUCUCAUCCUGGGGCUGUAGCCGGUCCCAAGGGUAUGGCUGUUCGCCAUUUAAAGAGGUACGUGAGCUGGGGUUUAAAAACGUCGUGAGACAGUUUGGUCCCUAUCUUCCGUGGGCGCUGCAAGAUUGAGAGAGCCUG